RNAcentral lists this long non-coding RNA (1040 nucleotides) under Setaria viridis. RNAcentral's name for it is "long non-coding RNA (SVIR_LNC007476)". The record is from RNAcentral. Lineage: Eukaryota; Viridiplantae; Streptophyta; Magnoliopsida; Poales; Poaceae.
UCAAUUGCUGCCUGUCUUGCAUAGUUGCAUCAUCAGCUCAUCAGACCUCAGUGCUCUGAUCGCUCUCGGUAUCCACCAUCUCCACUUUGGCAUUGGCCUCGCCAUUGCUCCUCCCUUCCUUGACGUACUCCAUCGUGUCGAUGUUGUAGAGUAUCGGGACCAUGGCCAUGGAGCAGAUGCACGGCAGGACGGGCCCGAAGAUCCAGAGCAGGAGCGGCGCGCCGGCGAAGAAGAGCCGGUUGCCGGCGAGGUUGAGGAGGAAUCCCCUCUCCAUGACGUUGGCGACGUAGUCCUUGGUGAGGGGGAGGUGGAGCGCCGGGGACGGGGAGAGCGCGUUGACGAGGAAGGAGGCCUGGUUGAGCGUGCAGAUGGCGAGGCUGUGGCAGAGGAAGGCGAGGAGGAAGACGGUGAGGAGGACGACGUACUUGAGCGCCAUCAUGUACUCGCCGUGCGCGCCGAAGACGGCGUCGCUGAGCGGCUUCUUCACGGCGUAGGUGCUGCUGAGCACCGCGGCGACGCCGGUGCAGAAGAGGAUGGACGUCGUCGCCACCAGCGUGGACCCCAUCAGCACGUUCCGCACCGACUGCACCACCAGGAUCGCCUGCUUCUCGUUGUUCUGCACCCACACGAUCGAGCAGGCAAAGAUCAGAUGACUUGAGAAUUGAGAUGAUGAACUCGCAAAAAUGGUGGUAAUUAACAGGGCUGCUGCAGCUAGUACCUUCAUCAUGGAGAAGACCCAGAGGCGGCGAGCGGCGGCGCUGAUGCCGACGGUGGAGCUGAGAGGGCUGCGGCGGACGGCGCGCCAGAGCCAGAGGUGGUACACGGCGGGGAAGAGGACGGCGAGGGGGAUCAGCACCACGUCCAAGUAGCUGUCCCUCCACGCCAUGGCCGACGAUGAUGGACACCGAUCGAUCUCUCCUCUGCUCUGCUAUGCAAUCUCUCUCCAAUUCCUCGCUCGGCCACUACUCGAUCCCUCUGCCUCUCUCGACCGGGAUGCGCGCCGCGGGUAGACGAAGAUGUCGCACCGUGUGGCCGGCCUC